This 253-nucleotide ribosomal RNA is filed under the name uncultured bacterium. RNAcentral describes it as "partial 16S ribosomal RNA". It matches the Rfam family "Bacterial small subunit ribosomal RNA", at positions 524 to 776 of the family's 1533-position model. The record is from RNAcentral.
CACGUAGGGCGCAAGCGUUGUCCGGAAUUAUUGGGCGUAAAGAGCUCGUAGGCGGUCUGUUGCGUCCGCUGUGAAAACUCGGGGCUUAACCCCGAGCCUGCAGUGGAUACGGGCAGACUAGAGGUAGGUAGGGGAGAAUGGAAUUCCCGGUGUAGCGGUGAAAUGCGCAGAUAUCGUAAGGAAGACCAGUGGCGAAGGCGGGUCUCUGGACAGUUCCUGACGCUGAGGCACGAAGGUCAGGGGAGCAAACGGG